This is a long non-coding RNA of Chelonia mydas (Green sea turtle), 706 nucleotides long. RefSeq lists it as uncharacterized. NCBI's taxonomy places the organism in Eukaryota, Metazoa, Chordata, Testudines, Cheloniidae. The transcript has 2 exons. The record is from RefSeq and is a predicted model, not a curated record.
GUCAAAAUACCAAACACAACUAUCUACCAAGCACACCUUGCUGCAAUCCUGAAGGUUUCAGCUGCUCAGUCACAGAGGCCAAACAUCAACAAACUGACAGAACGGAAGCAUUGCCAGCUGCCGGGCAAACACUAAAAACUCUCUGAGCUAGAGAAAAAAGGCAAGCAGCAUGGAUUCUGACCCUCUCAAACUAAAAUACAAGAUGACCUUCAGUGAACACACACAUUCCUGACGUUAAGGGGGAACUGGAAUACUCCUUCUAUUCCCAGCUCUUCCAACCCUGGAAACUUGGACAUCUGUGAUUAAUAAUUGAUUUUUUUUUUAAAAUAAUGAACCAUGUCCAGCUAGUUGAUGACUUGAAGUUUUCUGCUCCAGAUUAACUAUUUCCAUAUUGCAUUGUAACGGUCUUAGUAUUUAAAGGUCAGGGUACUAUAGGGAACAUACUUUCCUACUUCUUUAGAAAGCAAACUGAGUCCAAUUGUUGUAUUGUCUGCACCAUCUAAACAUUUUUUAAUCAAAACACCACCACCAUGCUGCUGCCAAUGAACCCAGGGACCAGUCUGACUAGAAAGAAAGCUGUCUAGACAGUCAAACUUUCUUGUUAUUUCUAAUUAAUAUACUAAAAUGUAGUUUUGGCAAUUUCAAAAACACUAUUAAACAACUGACCAACACGCACAAACCAGCGCCAGGUCAAUCAGAUACUGGA